This 22-nucleotide ribosomal RNA is filed under the name Mycobacterium avium. Its description in RNAcentral is "partial 23S ribosomal RNA". The record is from RNAcentral. RNAcentral also lists the same sequence under 1 other name. Lineage: Bacteria; Bacillati; Actinomycetota; Actinomycetes; Mycobacteriales; Mycobacteriaceae.
AAGUAAGUGUUUAAGGGCGCAU